RNAcentral lists this long non-coding RNA (1238 nucleotides) under Monodelphis domestica (gray short-tailed opossum). RNAcentral's name for it is "lncRNA (ENSMODG00000035569.2)". The record is from RNAcentral. Lineage: Eukaryota; Metazoa; Chordata; Mammalia; Didelphimorphia; Didelphidae.
CCCAGCAUGUGAAGACUGUUUCAGCGAAACAGGCAGAAGAAACCAACAAGAAGGUUCAACGGCCGAGAUGGCGAUACAGCAAGGCACUGUGGAGUGCUUAGGGCGUGUUGGAGUACAAAGGACAACACGGCCAUCCAAUGCAGCUGAGGAAGUCUCCAGGUGUAAUGACGUUUCGUGCCAAUGGACCCAGGUUUCCAACGCCGAGAGAGUGGGACUGUCACUGUGCUUCGACUUUUCCACUUAAAUGUUCAUUCAAAGGUGUCUUUGUGCACAAAAACGCACAAAGACAAUCGUCAUCCUCGGUUCGAGAGACAACCAACAUAAUCUUUUCCUUCAGCAACAGAAAGGAUUAUGGUGGCAUCUUCUUUUUUCUCUCUCAAAGCUGAGAGACAAGUGCUUGCUGCCCAAAGAGGUGUGAAGAAAACUGGAAGAAGACUUAAGAAAUCUUUUUUUCAUUAUUCUGGCUAACUCCUUCCCAAUAGGCAUGGAACAUUGAUUUCUACCAAUAAGGACAAAAUUUCAUUCCAAUGGGCUUUGAGAGGGAGAUUACACAUAGAAAACAUGAAGGGAGAUGAUAAUAUAAGAUUAUAAUGGUAAAUUUGCACCUUGCAGAGAUCUUUAAAUGCUUUUUUCCUCUCACAAGAUACCCCAUAUCCCAAUCUGUUCACUGUCUGACUCCCAUCCAUUCCUGGAUUUCUUUCCCUUAUCAUCUCUACCUACUGCCUUCCCUUGCUUCCUUCAAAUCUAAGAUAAAGUUAAUCAAUCUUCCUUUUUUGCUUAUUCCUACUUUAAUCUGUAUAUAAUUUGUUUGUAUAUAGUUGUAUGUUGUCUCCCCAUUUGGACUGUGAGAUCCUUGAGAUCAGGGGAUAUAUUUUAUCUGUAUUUGCAUCCCUAUGGCAUAGCAGAGUGCCUAACUGAGUUAUCAGAGUGGAUGCUUAGCAAAUGCUUAUUGAUGAAAUGGCUGACUGCUAGAUUAGGCAGUUUGCAUAUAUUUUAUUCUUUUAUCUUUUGGAAUGUUUUCUUCAGAUUAUAUUCAGAUACAAUUUUCAAUAAUAAUGUUUUUUAAUUUUGCAAUCCAUGUUCUUUAUCUCCCUCUUAGCUCUUCCGCCCUCUAAGAUGUCAGAUUAUAUGAUAUAGAUUGUACAUGUAUUAUCACAUGAUACAUACUUCCAUGUUCAUUAUUGCUUUCACUAGAGAAAAAUUCAUGGAGGAAAUAAAAUGAAGAAUGGUAUGCUUCA